This 70-nucleotide transfer RNA is filed under the name Phyllodromica sp. Phil. Its description in RNAcentral is "tRNA-Met". The record is from RNAcentral. Lineage: Eukaryota; Metazoa; Arthropoda; Insecta; Blattodea; Ectobiidae.
AGAAAAGUAAGCUAAUUUUAAAGCUAAUGGGUUCAUACCCCAUUUAUAGAGGAAGUACCUCUCUUCUCUA